GGGUCGUUAGCUCAGCCGGUAGAGCACCUGCCUUUUAAGCAGGGGGUCGCAAGUUCGAGUCUUGCACGACUCA
Molecule: transfer RNA, 73 nt
Filed under: bacterium
Lineage: Bacteria
Also listed under: 2 other names
Description: tRNA-Lys
Rfam family: tRNA
About the family: Transfer RNA (tRNA) molecules are approximately 80 nucleotides in length. Their secondary structure includes four short double-helical elements and three loops (D, anti-codon, and T loops).
Source: RNAcentral